CCUACGGGAGGCAGCAGUGAGGAAUAUUGGUCAAUGGACGAAAGCCUGAACCAGCCAAGUCGCGUGAAGGAUGACGGCCCUAUGGUUUGUAAACUUCUUUUAUAUGGGAAUAAAAUGUUCCACGUGUGGGAUUUCGUAUGUACCAUAUGAAUAAGGAUCGGCUAACGCCGUGCCAGCAGCCGCGGUAAUACGGAGGAGCCGAGCGUUAUCCGGAUUUAUUGGGUUUAAAGGGAGCGUAGGGGGUUUGUUAAGUCAGUGGUGAAAGUUUGCGGCUCAACCGUAAAAUUGCAGUUGAAACUGGCAGUCUUGAGUGCGGUAGAGGUGGGCGGAAUGCGUGGUGUAGCGGUGAAAUGCAUAGAUAUCACGAAGAACUCCGAUGGCGAAGGCAGCUCACUGGACUACAACUGACGCUGAGGCGCGAAAGUGUGGGUAUCAAACAGGAUUAGAUACCCUAGUAGUC
Molecule: ribosomal RNA, 460 nt
Filed under: uncultured bacterium
Lineage: Bacteria
Description: partial 16S ribosomal RNA
Rfam family: Bacterial small subunit ribosomal RNA
Source: RNAcentral